UAAUGCUUUGUUAAACAUUUUUGUGCCUCUACUUAUGAAGGAUAUCGGCCUGUAGUUUUCUUUUUUUAUAUUACCUUUCUUUGGUUUUAGUAUCAAGGUAAUACUAACUUCAUAAAUUAAUUGGGUAGUGUUUUGUCCUGUUUUUUUUUUUUUUUAAGAAAAUACUGUGUAGAAUGCGUGUCCUUUAAAUGUUGGGUGGCAUUCACUGGUGAAAUUAACUGGGCCAGGAGAUUUUUAGGGGUAUUUUAAAUUUAUGAAUUCAAUUUCUUUAAUAGUUGAGCAUCUCCCAAGUUCUCCAUUUCAAGUUGCAUGAGUUAUGUUAGUUUGUACUUUCUGAGAAAUUGGCCUAUUUCAGCUAAGUUGUCAAAUUGAUGUGUAUUAUAUUGUAUUGUAUUGUAUUGAGUUGUAUGUAAUAUUCUCUUAUCUUUUGUUGUUUGCCAGGUCUUUAGUGAUAUCUCAUGCUUUAUUCCUGAUGGGUAAUUUGUAUCUUCUCUUUUUCCUUACUAGGGGUUUGCCAAUUUUAUUGAACUUUUCAUAUAAACAGCUUUUUGUUUCUGUAUUGGGUUUGUUUUCAAUUUCAUUGAUUCUGCUAUUAUCUUUACUAUUUUUAUUAUUGUUAUUUUGAUUUCAUUGUAGCCAGAGAACAGUGUGGGAUUUCAAUCUUGAACAUUUGUUGAGAUUUGUUUUAUGCCUCAAGGUAUGGUCUAUCUUGGUGAGUGCUCCAUGGAUGCUUGAAAAGAACGUGUAUCCUGUUGUUGUUGAGUGGAAAUUUCUGUAAGUUUUGAUUAGAUGCUUUUGAGGUAGGACUGUGUUAAAUUCUAUUCCUUGCUGAUUUUCUGUCUAGUUGUUUUAUCUGUUGUUGAGAGAUGGGUUUUGAAGUCUCCAAUUAUUAUUAAGAAUUUGUUGUUUGUUUGUUUUUUAGUUCUAUUCAUUUUUGUCUUACAUAUCUUGCAGCUCUGUUGUUUGAUGUAGACACAUUUAGGAUUACUAAGUUUUCUUGGUGGAUUUACCCUUGUAUCAUUAUGUAAUGUCUUUCUCUGUCUUUAGUAGUUUUCCUUGCUCUAAAGUUUACUUAAUCUGAUUAAUACAGUCACUCAUGUUUUCUUUUGAUUAAUAUUUGCAUGGUGUAUCUUUUUCUAGCCUUUUAAUAUCAGCCUCUCUAUGUCACUAUAAUUGAAGUGAAUUACUUGUAGACCAUAUAUAGUUGACUUAUUCAUUCUUUUAUUCCCUCUGUCAGUCUCUGUCUUUUAAUCAUUGAAUUUAGAAUAUAUACAUUUAGUGUAAUUAUUGACAUAUUAGGGUUUAAAUCUGCCAUUUUAAUUUUUGUUUUUUGUUUGUUCUCUCUGUUUUUCAUUUCUCUAUUUUCAUGUUCUUUUUUCCUUAUGGGUUGCUUGAACCUUUUUUUAGAACUCCAGUUUGAUUAACCUAUAGUGAUUUUGAGUGUAUGCUUCUAGAUAGAUAUUUUGGUGGUUUCUCUAUGUAUUAUAUUAUAUAUACCUAACUUAUCACUGCCUACUAUUGCCCAAAUUUUGCUAGCUUGAGUAAAGUGUAGAUAACUUCUCCUUUUAGUUCCUUUUACCUUCCAAAGUUUAUAGUAUAACUGUUUUACCUAUUUAGUCAACACACAUUUAGAGUCAUAUAAGACAGUGUUAACAUUUUUGCUUCAACUAUCAAACAUAAUGUAAAGUGUGCAAAAGGAGAAGGAAAAUGUAUUCUUCAUCCAUGUUUUGAUUCUUUCCUUUGUUCUUUCUUCUUACCUAAUAUUCUAAAAGUCUUGCUUCCAUUCUGUUUAGAGGACUUCCCUUAGCCAUUCCCUUAAGGUGGGAUAAUUGAUGACAAAAAUCUCUUUGCUUCAUCUGAGAGUGUCUUGAAUUCCCCUUCAUUCUUGAAGGAUAUUUUCUCUGGACGUAGAAUUCUGUUUUUUAUUUUUGCUUUUUUUUUUUUUUUCCUUUUAGCUACUUCCUUUGUAGUGUCUGUUGAGAAAAUCUACUGUCGUUUGAAUUAUUUUUCCUUUUUAGGUAAGGUAUAAUUACUCUCUUGCUGCUUUCAAGAGUUUUUUUUUUUUUUUUUGGUCUUCAGUUUUCAGAAAUUUUACUAUAUGUUUUACAGUAGAUUAUUUGGGUUUAUACUCUUUGGGUUUCUCUAAGCUUCUUUUUUUUUUGUUUUGUUUUUUUGAAAUGGAGUUUCGCUCUUUUUGCCCAGGCUGGGGUGCAAUGGCAUGAUCUUAGCUCAUUGCAACUUCCACCUCAUGGGUUCAAGCAAUUCUCCUGUCUCAGCCUCCUGAGUAGUUGCAAUUACAGGUGCAUGCCAC
RNAcentral lists this long non-coding RNA (2311 nucleotides) under Homo sapiens (human). Its description in RNAcentral is "HSALNT0039607". Lineage: Eukaryota; Metazoa; Chordata; Mammalia; Primates; Hominidae. The record is from RNAcentral.